AUUGAACGCUGGCGGCAGGCUUAACACAUGCAAGUCGAGCGGGGUGAUGGUGCUUGCACUAUCACUUAGCGGCGGACGGGUGAGUAAUGCUUAGGAAUCUGCCUAUUAGUGGGGGACACCAUCUCGAAAGGGAUACUAAUACCGCAUACGUCCUACGGGAGAAAGCAGGGGAUCACUUGUGACCUUGCGCUAAUAGAUGAGCCUAAGUCGGAUUAGCUAGUUGGUGGGGUAAAGGCCUACCAAGGCGACGAUCUGUAGCGGGUCUGAGAGGAUGAUCCGCCACACUGGGACUGAGACACGGCCCAGACUCCUACGGGAGGCAGCAGUGGGGAAUAUUGGACAAUGGGGGGAACCCUGAUCCAGCCAUGCCGCGUGUGUGAAGAAGGCCUUAUGGUUGUAAAGCACUUUAAGCGAGGAGGAGGCUCUUUUGGUUAAUACCCAAGAUGAGUGGACGUUACUCGCAGAAUAAGCACCGGCUAACUCUGUGCCAGCAGCCGCCGUAA
RNAcentral lists this ribosomal RNA (503 nucleotides) under uncultured bacterium. RNAcentral's name for it is "partial 16S ribosomal RNA". It matches the Rfam family "Bacterial small subunit ribosomal RNA", at positions 30 to 523 of the family's 1533-position model. The record is from RNAcentral.